UAUAACAAACCCUAGCAAAGGAACGCUGAGCCUCCAACGUAUAUAUAUAUAUAUAUAUAUAUAUAUAGGAUGGGUCUAUUAUGAUAACACCCUUAAGACUCUUAUUCUGAUAACAAAAACCUUAUUCUGCUAACACUGCUUCCGGACCGAACCUCCUCCCAGCGGCGCUCGGUCAACCCCCACCCCGGGGCAACAACUCCCCACACCACCCCGCAGUGCCCGCCCGCCCACUCCCUCUCCUACUCCAGAUCUCGCUCCCACGUCCUGGUCGGCGAUCGAUCCGGCCCUCCCUUGGGCGCGCGCCUCCAGCCUCCUACCCCAGCGCUGCCCCCCUCCCACCGCUUUUUCCUUCUUCCUGGUGCGCGGAGGUCGCCCCCACCCGCUCCGGCCAAACCUCCCUCGACCCUGCCGCCGGGCGCUGCUCCCGCCACCUCCACGGCCUCGCCCUGCCCCACGCCUAGAGAGCAGGCGGGCUUCCCUCUUCCUCCUCUCAGGUGAGACCUCCCCCAGAUGUGACGGCGCGACCCGUGCUCCUCCUCGAGCUCAGGCCGGCUAACGGCGUUGGCCAAAAGCUCCCUGGUCCCGGAUCCACACCACCCCGACCGGGAUCCGGUGGAGGACGGUCAUGUGGAGGCGAUGGUCGCUGGCUCCCCCAUGGCAGGCAUCUGCUCUGCUCCGUCCCCACUCCCCACGUUGAUGAGCACCACGACGGCGAGAUCUUGCCGAGUCCUCCCCUCCUACGUGACACGCCACCAUCCCCGUGAAGGUGUGCUUUUCGACUCGCCCCGAGCUCCUCCCGUGCAGCUCGGAGACGCUCACCAUGUGGUUCGGAGCUCGUGUUCGUGCAGUCCGGCGAGCGCCAUCUCUUCGCCUGUGCUUUGUCGACCAUGGCCGUGCAACUCGCAGACGCUCGCCAUGCGGUUCGGAGCUCGUGCUCGUGCAGUCGGGAAAGCACCAUCUCUUUCCCUGCAGUUCGUCGACCAUGCCCAUGCGACUCAGAGAUGCUCGCCUUGCGGUUCAGGGCUGGAGUGCGUGCAGUCUGGCGAGUGUCCGUGCAUGUGCAGUCCGGCGAGCGUCCGUGCACACCAGCACCUCUGCCACAACAUUCAGACGAGAUUCCCUGGUUUGGAAAAUGCAAACUUUUCGAUUAUAAGAUCAAUUAGGUCCCUUAUUUAUUUGGUCCGGUGUUCUCUUGCGGUUGAGUUUACCUUUUUUUAGAUGAAAAGAUGAACAUCAAAGUACAGAAAAAGUGCACUGUAGUUUCUUGCGGUUCUCUUUACUUAAUUUUUCAGGUGGAAAACACAUCAAAGUACAGAAAAAAGUGCGCUGCAGCCCGUUGUUCUCUUGUGGUUCAGUUAACUUUUUUUCAGGUGAAAAAAGAUGAACAUUGGAAAAAAAUGCAGUUUGCUUGUCUCUUUCGGAUGUCCAUUCCUUCCGCUCUCCUAGUGUUCCUAAAGAAAUUAUCUGUUUAGAUUUGCAGUACAGUGCAUAGUGCAAAGGAGCUCCCUUUGUAAAAUGUUUGCAGUACAGAGGAGCUCUCGUUGUAAAAGGAUUGCAGUACAAUGCAUAUCACAGAGGAGUUUACUUUGUAAAAAAUUGUACGAGUUCACUUUUUGUUAUUUUUGAAGGAAAUGUUUUUGCAUAUUUGUAUGGACAUAAUUUAUAAUUUGUUAAAGAAGGAUCAGAUCAUUGAGAAA
Molecule: long non-coding RNA, 1697 nt
Organism: Triticum urartu
Lineage: Eukaryota; Viridiplantae; Streptophyta; Magnoliopsida; Poales; Poaceae
Source: RefSeq, a predicted model, not a curated record